AAAAUUAAUGGAAGUGCCACACUAGAAGCCCUGAUAGCUUUGGCACGCACUGAAACUCCAAACCUUACAGCAUUAUAUUAUUACUUUUCUGGAUCUGCACACCAAUAAUACAUUUUGCACCGAGGAGCCUGCUGCGACAGUUCUUUAUACACUUCCCAUACCCGGCUUUUUCCUAACCGCUUACAAAAUGACAUUAUUCACGCUUGGUUCAACUAGCUCGCCAACUCCGAAAUAUGCUGAUUACCAGAGA
This is a long non-coding RNA of Dermacentor andersoni, 250 nucleotides long. RefSeq lists it as uncharacterized. The record is from RefSeq and is a predicted model, not a curated record. NCBI's taxonomy places the organism in Eukaryota, Metazoa, Arthropoda, Arachnida, Ixodida, Ixodidae.